UACGGGGGGAGCAAGCGUUGUUCGGAUUUACUGGGCGUAAAGGGCGCGUAGGCGGUCAGCACAAGUCAGUUGUGAAAUCUCCGGGCUUAACUCGGAAAGGUCAACUGAUACUGUCGGACUAGAGUACAGAAGGGGCAACUGGAAUUCUCGGUGUAGCGGUGAAAUGCGUAGAUAUGCGGAGGAACACCGAUGGCGAAGGCAAUCCCCUGGGCCUGCACUGACGCUCAUGCACGAAAGCGUGGGGAGCAAACAGG
RNAcentral lists this ribosomal RNA (254 nucleotides) under uncultured bacterium. RNAcentral's name for it is "partial 16S ribosomal RNA". It matches the Rfam family "Bacterial small subunit ribosomal RNA", at positions 524 to 776 of the family's 1533-position model. The record is from RNAcentral.